Molecule: transfer RNA, 70 nt
Filed under: Marmota monax (woodchuck)
Lineage: Eukaryota; Metazoa; Chordata; Mammalia; Rodentia; Sciuridae
Description: tRNA.Ala
Source: RNAcentral
UAUUGUGGCUCAGUGGUAGAGUGCUCGCCUAGCACAUGACAGGUGCUGGGUUCAAUCCUCAGCCUAAAAA